RNAcentral lists this ribosomal RNA (470 nucleotides) under uncultured bacterium. RNAcentral's name for it is "bacterial SSU rRNA". It matches the Rfam family "Bacterial small subunit ribosomal RNA", at positions 8 to 526 of the family's 1533-position model. The record is from RNAcentral.
AGAGUUUGAUCAUGGCUCAGAACGAACGCUGGCGGCAGGCUUAACACAUGCAAGUCGAGCGCCCCGCAUGGGGAGCGGCAGACGGGUGAGUAACGCGUGGGAACCUACCUGAAGGUACGGAACAACUCCGGGAAACUGGAGCUAAUACCGUAUGUGCCCGAAAGGGGAAAGAUUCAUCGCCUUCAGAUGGGCCCGCGUCAGAUUAGCUAGUUGGUGAGGUAACGGCUCACCAAGGCGACGAUCUGUAGCUGGUCUGAGAGGAUGACCAGCCACACUGGGACUGAAACACGGCCCAGACUCCUACGGGAGGCAGCAGUGGGGAAUAUUGGACAAUGGGCGAAAGCCUGAUCCAGCCAUGCCGCGUGAGUGAUGACGGCCUUAGGGUUGUAAAGCUCUUUCGACGGGGACGAUAAUGACGGUACCCGUACAAGAAGCCCCGGCUAACUUCGUGCUAGCAGCCGCGGUAAUUC